CCCGUCCCUUCUCCCACGUCCUCUUUGGUUUAGUUGAAUCUGAAAAAUAUUUGAAUAGUCAUGAAUCAAGAAGGGUGCUCAAGCAAAAA
This is a long non-coding RNA of Nicotiana attenuata, 89 nucleotides long. RefSeq lists it as uncharacterized. The record is from RefSeq and is a predicted model, not a curated record. The transcript is spliced from 2 exons. NCBI's taxonomy places the organism in Eukaryota, Viridiplantae, Streptophyta, Magnoliopsida, Solanales, Solanaceae.